This 496-nucleotide ribosomal RNA is filed under the name uncultured bacterium. Its description in RNAcentral is "partial 16S ribosomal RNA". It matches the Rfam family "Bacterial small subunit ribosomal RNA", at positions 28 to 506 of the family's 1533-position model. The record is from RNAcentral.
GAUGAACGCUGGCGGCGUGCCUAAUACAUGCAAGUCGAGCGAACAGACGAGGAGCUUGCUCCUCUGACGUUAGCGGCGGACGGGUGAGUAACACGUGGAUAACCUACCUAUAAGACUGGGAUAACUUCGGGAAACCGGAGCUAAUACCGGAUAAUAUAUUGAACCGCAUGGUUCAAUAGUGAAAGACGGUUUUGCUGUCACUUAUAGAUGGAUCCGCGCCGCAUUAGCUAGUUGGUAAGGUAACGGCUUACCAAGGCAACGAUGCGUAGCCGACCUGAGAGGGUGAUCGGCCACACUGAAACUGAGAAACGGUCCAGACUCCUAGGGGAGGAAGCAGUAGGGAAUUUUCCGCAAUGGGCGAAAGCCUGACGGAGCAACGCCGCGGGGGGGAUGAAGGUUUUCGGAUCGUAAAACUUUUUUAUUAGGAAAAAAAAAAUGUGUAAGUAACUAUGCCCUUUUUGACGGUACCUAAUCAAAAAGCCACGGCUAACUACGU